CAUGGUAAUAAUAUUGAAAAUGAAAGCAUGACUUCAAUGAUUAGUAAAAAUAGAAACAAACCACGAUAGCAAAUAGCACAUAGCAGCAACAAGUGACAAACAAGUUCCAGCCCCUAUCAACCCUUUUUUUGUAGCAUUACAAGACCAACAUUACAACACAAGCUAAACUAAUGAGCUUCAGUCGCCAAGUAAAUUCCAACACAAUAAUCCUUUUAAACUUUCCCCUUCCCAGGCAACUCCAAAUUCUCUCCCAAUGCUCGAAUUAGGCCAUCCUUCAAGUAAUUGGUUUAAACUGUUUGCAGUUUAGUCAUGUAAAUAACCUGUUGAGAAAUACGACUCGAUAGUCUGUAACACAAACAAAAUCGUUGACUUCUCUUACUAUUAGUUACUAAAUUAAAUAGAGUAUCUCUAGUGUUCAAAUCAGAUAAACAAUUAUUCAAAUUAAAUAAAGGGCAAGCAUUAUGGGAUAGCAAGUUAUCUGGAUGUUUUAUCCAUAGACUGGAUAUCUAGAUGAAUUAAAAUCCUAAGGACAUGGUCUCUAUGUGUUUGCGAACAUCCUGGAAGUAAUGGUAUAGCCAACAAAGCAAACAAAUAUAACUCUUAGCUUUCCGACAUACUAUCCACAACUGGACAUGUAUGUCAUUUAAUCCUAAACAUGGUGUCUAAGUGACAAAACAAGUGCAUUGAUUUCGGCAAGGUAGUUUUAAACAUAUAAGACCGGCAAACAACCUUAAGGUUUAACGGAUGAAGUUUUAACAAUCCAAUGUCGCCUUUUAUUAACUAAGAAAUACUUACUGAAAUGAUAUCCAUGCAACAUGAAUUCAGCUAUAUUCAAAGAGUGACGAUCAUGGAACUUACAAAUAUCAUUCGAAGUCUUUUAGGCAGAAUUCCUAAACUAAAUCGAAGAUAAGUUGAUGCUACUCUUAUUUAUCCAAUCUUUAAUCCUAAUUACAAGAAAUGAUUUCCUGGUUACCAGAAUGCCAGAACAAAUCCUAAAGACCUUUAUAGUUAGGUUGUCUCAUAUUCAAAACAUCACACGCAAAGUCAAAAGAUCAAAAACACACCUGGAUUUGAGAGGCGUACCUGGUUAUUAUAUGGGCAUAAUUUCAAUAGAGUGCCGCAUGGCACUCGGCAUGGCCAAGAAAAUACAGAACACACAAAUAGAGUAAAGAAAACAAAAGCUGAAGAGGAGGACUAGUCUAUUCUAACAAUAACUAACACGUAAAGGAAUCACUAAUGCGUCGUUCAGGAAACUAACCUGUUCGAAAGCGGAACAACAAUAUAAUAAGAAGAUUAGAAAUCCAGUAACUUCAAUAACAACAAAUAAGCCCAAAUACUCUCCGGAGUGUGCAUAAUGAAGAACCAAUACUCGAACUCGAUACGUCCAGGUUGUAUCAAACGAAUAUCAAAACUAGAACUUUGUAUUUGGACAAAUAUAAAGAUUAAAGCUCUGCCUCGAUUUGUACUCGGAAGAACAGAGGAGCAAUAAAAGUAAAAGAAUAGCUAUAGUAGUAGUGAAAACCAUCCUCCUUAAGUGCAUAGAACUAGUCAGUAUUUAUAAUAGCGAAUUAGCCUUAGGGCGUGUCACUAUAAUGGAAAAGAUUCAUAAAACUAGAUAUCAAAUAAAGAAAGGUUCAGAUUUUUUUUAAAAAUAUCAAAAUUCCCGUUAAGCAAGGAUUCGGGGACUGAAGCGAAAUUGGAGUAUUCGAACUAAAAAAUGAACCGUUGGUGAUUAAUUUUGGCAGAAAAAGAUUAUGAUUAUGGGAAAACUUCGCUUUACAUAAUCGAAAAAAUCAGAACAAAAUAUUGAUAAUUCAAUUUUCAAAACUCAAUCCAAUCGAUAAGAGAAAAUGAAAAAUAGGUGAAGUGCUUGCCUCAAAACCUGUCCAUAUUCAUCUAACUAAUUUGAACAUGCGGAUGCCGAUAUGGAAAGAAAAGCAUGCAAACCUUCACUCACGACAGGGAUUUAGACCAAAACUGAAACUAAAAUCUCGGUUCUCAAUCACAAUUUCUUUACAGAUUUGAAGAGGAAAAGAAUUGAGGAAAGAAAGUUAAAAAGAAUAUUUUAAAAAAGGAAACAAAUCAAAGAAUUGGGGAAAGGUGUUGGCGAGUUGCUGGCGAAAUCGUAGGGGAAGACGAUGGUUGC
Molecule: long non-coding RNA, 2146 nt
Filed under: Nicotiana tabacum (common tobacco)
Lineage: Eukaryota; Viridiplantae; Streptophyta; Magnoliopsida; Solanales; Solanaceae
Description: long non-coding RNA (NTAB_LNC002403)
Source: RNAcentral